AUUACCUCAGUAACGGCGAGUGAAGCGGUAACAGCUCAAAUUUGAAAGCUAGCUCUUCUAGGGUUCGCGUUGUAAUUUGCAGAAGAUGUUUCGGGUGUGGCCCCGGUCUAAGUUCCUUGGAACAGGACGUCAUAGAGGGUGAGAAUCCCGUAUGUGACUGGGUGCUUUCGCUCAUGUGAAACUCUUUCGACGAGUCGAGUUGUUUGGGAAUGCAGCUCAAAAUGGGUGGUAUAUUUCAUCUAAAGCUAAAUAUUGGCCAGAGACCGAUAGCGCACAAGUAGAGUGAUCGAAAGAUGAAAAGCACUUUGGAAAGAGAGUUAAACAGUACGUGAAAUUGUUGAAAGGGAAGCGCUUGCAACCAGACUUGCGCGCUGAUGAUCAUCCGGGCUUCUGUCCGGUGCACUCGUCAGCGCUCAGGCCAGCAUCGGUUUCGGUGGUGGGAUAAAGGCCUUGGGAAUGUAGCUCCUCUCGGGGAGUGUUAUAGCCCUCGGUGCAAUGCCGCCUACCGGGACCGAGGACCGCGCUUCGGCUAGGAUGCUGGCGUAAUGGUUGUAAGCGACCCGUCUUGAAACACGGACCAAGGAGUCUAACAUCUAUGCGAGUGUUUGGGUGUCAAACCCAUACGCGUAAUGAAAGUGAACGGAGGUGAGAACCCUUAAGGGUGCAUCAUCGACCGAUCCUGAUGUCUUCGGAUGGAUUUGAGUAAGAGCAUAGCUGUUGGGACCCGAAAGAUGGUGAACUAUGCGUGAAUAGGGUGAAGCCAGAGGAAACUCUGGUGGAGGCUCGCAGCGGUUCUGACGUGCAAAUCGAUCGUCAAAUUUGCGUAUAGGGGCGAAAGACUAAUCGAACCAUUGGGACACUACUAGGUGGUUGAGAGGCUGCUGAGAGGCACGCCUAGUCCUGUAUCUACAGGGCAACACUAUCAAAUUGUUCGGGGACGUCCUGUCAAAUCUCAAGCUACCGCAGCCGACCCGAAAGGGCGGUGCGCACCGGGUUAACGACCCUGGGGAUGGUAAGAACGCUUGGGUGGGGAUUAUCCGCAGCCAACCUCUAAGGGGCAUCGCCCUACGAGACAGGUCCACAGACUUAACGAUAGUGGGCUCCGACGGAGCUUAAGAUAAAGUCGAACCCCCGGAGAUCGGG
This 1143-nucleotide ribosomal RNA is filed under the name Pirottaea brevipila. Its description in RNAcentral is "LSU rRNA". It matches the Rfam family "Eukaryotic large subunit ribosomal RNA", at positions 74 to 1402 of the family's 3401-position model. The record is from RNAcentral. Lineage: Eukaryota; Fungi; Ascomycota; Leotiomycetes; Helotiales; Ploettnerulaceae.